GAUGAACGCUAGCGACAGGCUUAACACAUGCAAGUCGAGGGGCAGCGGGGAUGAAGCUUGCUUCAUCCGCCGGCGACCGGCGCACGGGUGAGUAACACGUAUGCAACCUGCCCCUGGCUGGGGGAUAAGCCGGAGAAAUCCGGUCUAAUACCGCGUAACAUCCUUGCGGGACAUCCCGCGGGGAUCAAAGGAAGCGAUUCCGGCCAGGGAUGGGCAUGCGGCGCAUUAGCUAGUCGGCGGGGUAACGGCCCACCGAGGCGACGAUGCGUAGGGGUUCUGAGAGGAAGGUCCCCCACACUGGUACUGAGACACGGACCAGACUCCUACGGGAGGCAGCAGUGAGGAAUAUUGGUCAAUGGGCGCGAGCCUGAACCAGCCAAGUCGCGUGAGGGAAGACGGUCCUAUGGAUUGUAAACCUCUUUUGCCGGGGAGCAAGCUGGGUCACGUGUGACGCAGCUGAGAGUACC
RNAcentral lists this ribosomal RNA (467 nucleotides) under uncultured bacterium. RNAcentral's name for it is "bacterial SSU rRNA". It matches the Rfam family "Bacterial small subunit ribosomal RNA", at positions 28 to 479 of the family's 1533-position model. The record is from RNAcentral.